Ananas comosus (pineapple) is the source of this 563-nucleotide long non-coding RNA. RefSeq lists it as uncharacterized. The transcript is spliced from 6 exons. The record is from RefSeq and is a predicted model, not a curated record. Lineage: Eukaryota; Viridiplantae; Streptophyta; Magnoliopsida; Poales; Bromeliaceae.
CCUAACCCUAACUCCGAACCCCAACUCUCUCCGCCUCCCCAGUUCGAUCUCUUCGGAGACCCACAUUGGAUUCUCCAUUAAGUAUGGAUUUUGAUUCGUAUAAUACAGUUUGUAGCUAGACUAUGUUCUUCGAGGUUAACAACUGAAUUUUUAAGCGCAUUUUCUGACGACGGCUCCAAACGCCUGAUGUUUUGAAGUUGCUCUCCGUUUAAAGUAACAGGAAUCUUCUAUUAAGUACCAAAAGCUGCUCCGGGAGACACCUAUUUUCUGGUGUCUAUGUCAGGAUCCGGAACAAUUCCAGCCUCCUUCUCCCUUCGAAUCACUUCCUUCAUAAUUUCUUCAUAAGCUUUGAACAGAUGUGUGGUGUGUUCCUACCUGCUCUGCUACCAACACCUUGGAAUCUCGCAGAGAAGUCCAAUGUCUCCCUUACCGUCAUCUCAGUGUUCCAUAGGGUGGGUAGGGGCUUCCCCUGAACUACCUCACAAUCGGCUUCGACACACAGCAACCGGAGGUUGUCGUUCUCGAUGUGCUUGAUGAGAUUCUCGAUGAACAACCGCCGUUCC